This is a small nuclear RNA of Nomascus leucogenys (northern white-cheeked gibbon), 136 nucleotides long. Its record names the gene U4. It matches the Rfam family "U4 spliceosomal RNA". From Rfam's summary of the family: U4 small nuclear RNA (U4 snRNA) is a component of the major U2-dependent spliceosome. The structure of U4 snRNA from yeast and human has been reported. Lineage: Eukaryota; Metazoa; Chordata; Mammalia; Primates; Hylobatidae. The record is from Ensembl.
AACUUUGCACAUUGGCAGUAUUAUAGCUAGAGGUUUAUUCAUAAGUGAUUAUUGCUAAUUGAAAACUUUCCCAAUACCUCACCAUGAUGACCUUAAUGUAGUCAACAUUGGCAAUUUUUGAUAUUAUCCACAGAAA